This 294-nucleotide ribosomal RNA is filed under the name uncultured Desulfobulbus sp. RNAcentral's name for it is "partial 16S ribosomal RNA". It matches the Rfam family "Bacterial small subunit ribosomal RNA", at positions 1091 to 1382 of the family's 1533-position model. Lineage: Bacteria; Pseudomonadati; Thermodesulfobacteriota; Desulfobulbia; Desulfobulbales; Desulfobulbaceae. The record is from RNAcentral.
AACGAGCGCAACCCUUGCCUUUAGUUGCCAGCAGUUCGGCUGGGCACUCUAAAGGGACUGCCGGUGUUAAACCGGAGGAAGGUGGGGAGUGGACGUCAAGUCCUCAUGGCCUUUAUGACCAGGGCUACACACGUACUACAAUGGCCGAUACAAAGGGCAGCGACACUGCGAGGUGAAGCCAAUCCCGUAAAAUACGGUCUCAGUCCGGAUUGGAGUCUGCAACUCGACUCCAUGAAGUUGGAAUCGCUAGUAAUCGUGGAUCAGCAUGCCACGGUGAAUACGUUCCCGGGCCUU